Molecule: ribosomal RNA, 466 nt
Filed under: uncultured bacterium
Lineage: Bacteria
Description: bacterial SSU rRNA
Rfam family: Bacterial small subunit ribosomal RNA
Source: RNAcentral
CCUACGGGAGGCUGCAGUGGGGAAUAUUGCACAAUGGGGGAAACCCUGAUGCAGCAACGCCGCGUGAGUGAUGAAGGCUUUCGGGUCGUAAAGCUCUGUCAAGUGGGAAGAAAAUGCUUGAUGCUAAUACCAUCUUGUACUGACGGUACCACUAAAGGUAGCACCGGCUAACUCCGUGCCAGCAGCCGCGGUAAUACGGGGGGUGCAAGCGUUAUUCGGAAUUAUUGGGCGUAAAGGGCGCGUAGGCGGUCUCUUAAGUCAGAUGUGAAAGCCCGGGGCUUAACCCCGGAAGUGCAUUUGAAACUAAGGGACUUGAGUAUGGGAGAGGGAAGUGGAAUUCCUGGUGUAGAGGUGAAAUUCGUAGAUAUCAGGAGGAACACCGGUGGCGAAGGCGACUUCCUGGACCAAUACUGACGCUAAGGCGCGAAGGCGUGGGGAGCAAACAGGAUUAGAUACCCUGGUAGUC